Non-coding RNA from Heterocephalus glaber (naked mole-rat), 113 nucleotides. NCBI's taxonomy places the organism in Eukaryota, Metazoa, Chordata, Mammalia, Rodentia, Bathyergidae. The record is from Rfam.
GUCUACAGCCAUGCCACCCUGAAUGUGCCUGAUCUCAGAAACUAAGCAGGGUUGGGCUGGUUAAUACUUGGAUGGGAAACUAAAAUGGAAAUUUACCCAAAGGCCUUUAAUCC